This 71-nucleotide transfer RNA is filed under the name Microbotryum lychnidis-dioicae. RNAcentral's name for it is "tRNA-Met". It matches the Rfam family "tRNA". Rfam says of the family: Transfer RNA (tRNA) molecules are approximately 80 nucleotides in length. Their secondary structure includes four short double-helical elements and three loops (D, anti-codon, and T loops). Further hydrogen bonds mediate the characteristic L-shaped molecular structure. tRNAs have two regions of fundamental functional importance: the anti-codon, which is responsible for specific mRNA codon recognition, and the 3' end, to which the tRNAs corresponding amino acid is attached (by aminoacyl-tRNA synthetases). tRNAs cope with the degeneracy of the genetic code in two manners: having more than one tRNA (with a specific anti-codon) for a particular amino acid; and 'wobble' base-pairing, i.e. permitting non-standard base-pairing at the 3rd anti-codon position. The record is from RNAcentral. RNAcentral also lists the same sequence under 3 other names. Lineage: Eukaryota; Fungi; Basidiomycota; Microbotryomycetes; Microbotryales; Microbotryaceae.
CGCGAAUUGGUGAAAAGGUAUCAUCACUAGCUCAUGCCUAGUAGUUCUGGGUUCAAUUCCUGGAUUCGCAU